Long non-coding RNA from Humulus lupulus (European hop), 427 nucleotides. RefSeq lists it as uncharacterized. The record is from RefSeq and is a predicted model, not a curated record. Lineage: Eukaryota; Viridiplantae; Streptophyta; Magnoliopsida; Rosales; Cannabaceae. The transcript has 3 exons.
AAGUCAAAAAUAAGAGGAAAAGAUCAAAGAGAGAAGAGGAAUAGGAAUUUAAAAUCAAUACAGAAAUGUUCUAAUAAAUAUAAGUUUAUAAAGCAUGUGACUGUUAGUAGGAUCCAAACUUUACAAGUGGAAUGUAGCAAAUAAUUCAACGAUUACAGGUCGCAGGAAAUGAAGAUGGUGUAACUGCUUUUCAAAUGGACAUUAAGGUGGCUGGAAUUACUUUCCCAACCAAGCAAAGGAUGGCCGGAAGCAUAUCCUUGCUGAAAUGUUGAAGUGCUCACCUCCUCUGUCCAGAGCGCUUUCAAAGCAUGCCCCCCUGAUUCAUGUCAUGAAGAUCUGUUAAUGCUUGGAGCCAUAUAUAUAUAGUAAACCUCGCACGUAUUCUUUCAGUGUGUAAAUAUAUGUAGGGAGGGAUUCAUUUGGUGCG